Panthera uncia (snow leopard) is the source of this 482-nucleotide long non-coding RNA. RefSeq lists it as uncharacterized. The transcript has 3 exons. NCBI's taxonomy places the organism in Eukaryota, Metazoa, Chordata, Mammalia, Carnivora, Felidae. The record is from RefSeq and is a predicted model, not a curated record.
GAAUUGCAGUUGAAGAAAGAAAUCACUCUGCCAAUGUCCAUGUCUCAACUUCAGGUCCUGUGUGCCUACCCCUGUCAUUGGCAGCCCCCACACUAACAUAGAGUUGAGGAAGAGUUUCCCAAAGGAAUCUGAAGAAAGAAGAGUAAACCUGGGCCCACAGCAAAGGAUGGGGAAAGCUAUGUAAACAAGGAGCUACAAUUCCUUCAAUCCCCAGCCAUCUUACACUUGACAGGAAGAUAAUAAGCAACUACAUUUUCUCCAUGCAAAAACCCUUCCAGGUUGUGAGUGCCAUAAAUAUAACGGAUUGUACUGUACUCAUCACUAGUAUGACGGCAUCUCCCUCUCUCCAUAGGAUCUCAAUGAGGAAAGUGGAGAAUUAAGAAAAUGAGAAUUAAACUUUUUCUCCUUUGUAACAUUUCUUUUUUUCUUUUUCUUCUUUUCUCUUCUCUUCUCUUCUCUUUCUUUUCUUUUCUUUUCUUUUC